CGGACGGUAACAGGUUAAGCUGACGAGUGGCGAACGGGUGAGUAAUGUAUCGGAACGUGCCCAGUCGUGGGGGAUAACUGCUCGAAAGAGCAGCUAAUACCGCAUACGACCUGAGGGUGAAAGCGGGGGAUCGCAAGACCUCGCGCGAUUGGAGCGGCCGAUAUCAGAUUAGGUAGUUGGUGAGGUAAAGGCUCACCAAGCCGACGAUCUGUAGCUGGUCUGAGAGGACGACCAGCCACACUGGGACUGAGACACGGCCCAGACUCCUACGGGAGGCAGCAGUGGGGAAUUUUGGACGAUGGGCGCAAGCCUGAUCCAGCCAUGCCGCGUGCGGGAAGAAGGCCUUCGGGUUGUAAACCGCUUUUGUCAGGGAAGAAAAGGUUCUGGCUAAUACCUGGGACUCAUGACGGUACCUGAAGAAUAAGCACCGGCUAACUACGUGCCAGCAGCCGCGGUAAUACGUAGGGUGCAAGCGUUAAUCGGAAUUACUGGGCGUAAAGCGUGCGCAGGCGGUUAUGCAAGACAGAGGUGAAAUCCCCGGGCUCAACCUGGGAACUGCCUUUGUGACUGCAUGGCUAGAGUACGGUAGAGG
RNAcentral lists this ribosomal RNA (592 nucleotides) under uncultured Roseateles sp. RNAcentral's name for it is "bacterial SSU rRNA". It matches the Rfam family "Bacterial small subunit ribosomal RNA", at positions 63 to 657 of the family's 1533-position model. Lineage: Bacteria; Pseudomonadati; Pseudomonadota; Betaproteobacteria; Burkholderiales; Sphaerotilaceae. The record is from RNAcentral.